UGGGGAAUUUUGGACAAUGGGGGAAACCCUGAUCCAGCCAUCCCGCGUGUGCGAUGAAGGCCUUCGGGUUGUAAAGCACUUUUGGCAGGAAAGAAACGUCAUGGGUUAAUACCCCGUGAAACUGACGGUACCUGCAGAAUAAGCACCGGCUAACUACGUGCCAGCAGCCGCGGUAAUACGUAGGGUGCAAGCGUUAAUCGGAAUUACUGGGCGUAAAGCGUGCGCAGGCGGGUCGGAAAGAAAGAUGUGAAAUCCCAGAGCUCAACUUUGGAACUGGAUUUUUAAACAACGGGGUGGAGGGGGUGAGGGGGAGGUGGAAUUCCGGGUGUAGCAAUGAAAUGCGUAGAUAUGCGGAGGAAAACCGAUGGGGAAGGCAGCCGCCUGGGAUAACCCUGAAGCUCAUGGAGGGAAGGGUGGGGAGCAAACAGG
RNAcentral lists this ribosomal RNA (429 nucleotides) under Acidobacteriota bacterium. RNAcentral's name for it is "Acidobacteria bacterium partial 16S ribosomal RNA". It matches the Rfam family "Bacterial small subunit ribosomal RNA", at positions 355 to 776 of the family's 1533-position model. Lineage: Bacteria; Pseudomonadati; Acidobacteriota. The record is from RNAcentral.